RNAcentral lists this ribosomal RNA (465 nucleotides) under uncultured bacterium. Its description in RNAcentral is "partial 16S ribosomal RNA". It matches the Rfam family "Bacterial small subunit ribosomal RNA", at positions 338 to 795 of the family's 1533-position model. The record is from RNAcentral.
CCUACGGGGAGCAGCAGUAGGGAAUCUUCCACAAUGGGCGAAAGCCUGAUGGAGCAACGCCGCGUGGGUGAAGAAGGUCUUCGGAUCGUAAAACCCUGUUGUUAGAGAAGAAAGUGCGUGAGAGUAACUGUUCACGUUUCGACGGUAUCUAACCAGAAAGCCACGGCUAACUACGUGCCAACAGCCGCGGUAAUACGUAGGUGGCAAGCGUUAUCCGGAUUUAUUGGGCGUAAAGGGAACGCAGGCGGUCUUUUAAGUCUGAUGUGAAAGCCUUCGGCUUAACCGGAGUAGUGCAUUGGAAACUGGGAGACUGGAGUGCAGAAGAGGAGAGUGGAACUCCAUGUGUAGCGGUGAAAUGCGUAGAUAUAUGGAAGAACACCAGUGGCGAAAGCGGCUCUCUGGUCUGUAACUGACGCUGAGGUUCGAAAGCGUGGGUAGCAAACAGGAUUAGAUACCCGUGUAGUC